Molecule: ribosomal RNA, 253 nt
Filed under: uncultured bacterium
Lineage: Bacteria
Description: partial 16S ribosomal RNA
Rfam family: Bacterial small subunit ribosomal RNA
Source: RNAcentral
UACGUAGGGUGCAAGCGUUGUCCGGAAUUAUUGGGCGUAAAGAGCUCGUAGGCGGUCUGUCGCGUCGGGCGUGAAAAUCCAGGGCUCAACCCUGGACCUGCGUUCGAUACGGGCAGACUAGAGUUCGGUAGGGGAGACUGGAAUUCCUGGUGUAGCGGUGAAAUGCGCAGAUAUCAGGAGGAACACCGGUGGCGAAGGCGGGUCUCUGGGCCGAAACUGACGCUGAGGAGCGAAAGCGUGGGGAGCGAACAGG